GACGAACGCUGGCGGCGUGCCUAACACAUGCAAGUCGAACGGAGUACGACGCUGAUUUGAUGGUAGCUUGCUACUGGAUUUUCUUGUUGUACUUAGUGGCGGACGGGUGAGUAACGCGUGAGCAACCUGCCCUUGAGAGCGGAAUAACGUUCUGAAAAGAACGCUAAUACCACAUAAUGUGUAGCUACCGCAUGAUAGCAACACCAAAGAUUUUAUCGCUCAAGGAUGGGCUCGCGUCCGAUUAGGUAGUUGGUGAGGUAACGGCUCACCAAGCCGACGAUCGGUAGCCGGACUGAGAGGUUGAUCGGCCACAUUGGGACUGAGACACGGCCCAG
Molecule: ribosomal RNA, 335 nt
Filed under: uncultured bacterium
Lineage: Bacteria
Description: bacterial SSU rRNA
Rfam family: Bacterial small subunit ribosomal RNA
Source: RNAcentral